UUGAACGCUGGCGGCAGGCCUAACACCUGCAAGUCGAGCGGAUGAAGGGAGCUUGCUCCUGGAUUCAGCGGCGGACGGGUGAGUAAUGCCUAGGAAUCUGCCUGGUAGUGGGGGAUAACGUCCGGAAACGGGCGCUAAUACCGCAUACGUCCUGAGGGAGAAAGUGGGGGAUCUUCGGGCCUCACGCUAUCAGAUGAGCCUAGGUCGGAUUAGCUAGUUGGUGGGGUAAAGGCCUACCAAGGCGACGAUCCGUAACUGGUCUGAGAGGAUGAUCAGUCACACUGGAACUGAGACACGGUCCAGACUCCUACGGGAGGCAGCAGUGGGGAAUAUUGGACAAUGGGCGAAAGCCUGAUCCAGCCAUGCCGCGUGUGUGAAGAAGGUCUUCGGAUUGUAAAGCACUUUAAGUUGGGAGGAAGGGCAGUAAGUUAAUACCUUGCUGUUUUGACGUUACCAACAGAAUAAGCACCGGCUAACUUCGUG
RNAcentral lists this ribosomal RNA (483 nucleotides) under uncultured bacterium. RNAcentral describes it as "partial 16S ribosomal RNA". It matches the Rfam family "Bacterial small subunit ribosomal RNA", at positions 30 to 507 of the family's 1533-position model. The record is from RNAcentral.